AUUAUUAUAGACCCGUUGUCAGUGGUCACCGCGUACGUGUGUAUAGAGGAUGAGGUCACAUAGGUACCCGUACCCGUCUUGCCUAGUCAUGGCGGAUCUCAAACUCUCUAUUACUUUGUACAGCGUCCAGUUUUACCUGAUAACAAUCACUUGACGGAUUUGCAUUGAAAACAAAUAGCUUUGUUCACGUACAACGAGUAACGAGAAGUUUAUUACGCUGAAUAGUAAUUUCGUUAAUCGGAGAUAAACCGACUAGGCUAUAGUCCAGUUGACUCGGGGCUGUGACAAAUGGAUAAAUGGUCAAAUGAUAGAUGGGGAGCCUGUUGGCUCCAUACAGAGCCCCAGUGUCAAAAGGACCAAAUAAUCAGUCAACCAGGGAGUCCAAGGAUGUCCUAUAAACACAGACGGGACAGCACAGACAUCCGUUCACGUGCUCGAGCCCAGAUGUCAACACAUCACGUGCAGUCCGCAGGCUGCAUGCUCACCAUGACCAGAGCUCGUGCUCACCUUUAACUGUGUGCAAGCUACGAAAAGACUUGUCAACAGGUGACAUCUGUGCAUCACCUCGCAGAGCUGCACAACUGUAAAGCAUCAAACUACACUUUCUAGCAAAGGUAACAGGUUUGGUAAACCAGCUUUUAAAACCAGCAGGCCAAGUGGUGGUCAGGUCAACCCAUAGGAGAGACACGGGGUGGCACGCGCCAGUUCCAGAAGAAAAAGAAAAACCAAAAAAGUAGGAAGAAGAAGAAAAAGAAAAAAUGCAAGAAGAAGAAAAAAAGCAGGAAGAAGAAGACAGAUGAGGUCAGGAUGGUAGUCACGGCAAUGACAGACCGCACAACCCUUCAUAUUCAGCAGCUGUCUGGUCACAGACAGCAGAGCUCGAGGCUGGUAGAUGAGCGUUGGUCCUUGUUAGGCGCUGUUAAGCUCUAGACAGCAGUGGGGCCUACAGUCGAGAAAGAAACGAGGUGGCACGUGGCGGUGCCAGACCGCACAACGCUUCAUCAUCAGCAUGUGUCUGGUCGCAGAUGGCAGAGCUCGAGGCUGGUAGAUGAGCGUUGGUCCUUGUUAGGCGCUGUUAAGCUCUAAACAGCAGUGGGGCCUACAGUCGAGAGAGAAACAAGGUGGCACGUGGCAGUGCCAGACCGCACAACGCUUCAUCAUCAGCAUCUGUCUGGUCGCAGACAGUAGAGCUCGAGGCUGGUAGAUGAGCGUUGGUCCUUGUUAGGCGCUGUUAUGCUCUAGACAGCAGUGGGGCCUACAGUCAAGAGAGAAACGAGGUGGCACGUGGCAGUGCCAGACCACAAAACGCUUCAUCAUCAGCAUGUGUCUGGGCGCAGACGGCAGAGCUGUGGCUGGUAGAUGAGCGUUGGUCCUUGUUAGGCGCUGUUAAGCUCUAGACAGCAGUGGGGCCUUAAUGUCGAGAGAGAAACAAGGUGGCACGUGGCAGUGCCAGACCGUACAACGCUUCAUCAUCAGCAUCUGUCUGGUCGCAGACAGGAGAGCUCGAGGCUGGUAGAUGAGCGUUGGUCUUUGUAAAGCGCUGUUAAGCUCUAGACAGCAGUGGGGUCUACAGUCGAGAAAGAAACGAGGUGGCACGUGGCAGUGCCAGACCGCACAACGCUUCAUCAUCAGCAUCUGUCUGGUCACAGACAGUAGAGCUCGAGGCUGAUAGAUGAGCGUUGGUCUUUGUUAGGCGCUGUUAAGCUCUAGACAGCAGUGGGGCCUACAGUUGAGAGAGAAACGAGGUGGCACGUGGCAGUGCCAGACCGCACAACGCUUCAUCAUCAGCAUCUGUCUGGUCACAGACAGUAGAGCUCGAGGCUGAUAGAUGAGCGUUGGUCUUUGUUAGGCACUGUUAAGCUCUAGACAGCAGUGGGGCCUACAGUGGAGAGAGAAACGAGGUGGCACAUGGAAGUGCCAGACCGCACAACGCUUCAUCAUCAGCAGCUGUCUGGUCGCAGACAGCAGAGCUGUGGCUGGUAGAUGAGCGUUGGUCUUUGUUAGGCGCUGUUAAGCUCUAGACAGCAGUGGGGCCUACAGUCGAGAAAGAAACGAGGUGGCACGUGGCAGUGCCAGACCGCACAACGCUUCAUCAUCAGCAUCUGUCUGGUCGCAGACAGUAGAGCUCGAGGCUGGUAGAUGAGCGUUGGUCCUUGUUAGGCGCUGUUAUGCUCUAGACAGCAGUGGGGCCUACAGUCAAGAGAGAAACGAGGUGGCACGUGGCAGUGCCAGACCGCACAACGCUUCAUCAUCAGCAUCUCUCUGGUCGCAGACAGCAGAGCUCGAGGCUGGUAGAUGAGCGUUGGUCUUUGUAAAGCGCUGUUAAGCUCUAGACAGCAGUGGGGCCUACAGUCGAGAAAGAAACGAGGUGGCACGUGGCAGUGCCAGACCGCACAACGCUUCAUCAUCAGCAUCUGUCUGGUCGCAGACAGCAGAGCUCGAGGCUGGUAGAUGAGCGUUGGUCCUUGUUAGGCGCUGUUAAGCUCUAGACAGCAGUGGGGCCUACAGUCGAGAGAGAAACGAGGUGGCACGUGGCAGUGCCAGACCGCACAACGCUUCAUCAUCAGCAUGUGUCUGGUCGCAGAUGGCAGAGCUCGAGGCUGGUAGAUGAGCGUUGGUCCUUGUUAGGCACUGUUAAGCUCUAGACAGCAGUGGGGCUUACAGUCGAGAGAGAAACGAAGUGGCACAUGGCAGUGCCAGACCGCACAACUCUUCAUCAUCAGCAGCUGUCUGGUCGCAGACAGCAGAGCUGUGGCUGGUAGAUGAGCGUUGGUCUUUGUUAGGCGCUGUUAAGCUCUAGACAGCAGUGGGGCCUACAGUCGAGAAAGAAACGAGGUGGCACAUGGCAGUGCCAGACCGCACAACGCUUCAUCAUCAGCAUCUGUCUGGUCGCAGACAGCAGAGCUCGAGGCUGGUAGAUGAGCGUUGGUCCUUGUUAGGCGCUGUUAAGCUCUAGACAGCAGUGGGGCCUACAGUCGAGAGAGAAACGAGGUGGCACGUGGCAGUGCCAGACCGCACAACGCUUCAUCAUCAGCAUGUGUCUGGUCGCAGAUGGCAGAGCUCGAGGCUGGUAGAUGAGCGUUGGUCCUUGUUAGGCACUGUUAAGCUCUAGACAGCAGUGGGGCUUACAGUCGAGAGAGAAACGAAGUGGCACAUGGCAGUGCCAGACCGCACAACUCUUCAUCAUCAGCAGCUGUCUGGUCGCAGACAGCAGAGCUGUGGCUGGUAGAUGAGCGUUGGUCUUUGUUAGGCGCUGUUAAGCUCUAGACAGCAGUGGGGCCUACAGUCGAGAAAGAAACGAGGUGGCACAUGGCAGUGCCAGACCGCACAACGCUUCAUCAUCAGCAUCUGUCUGGUCGCAGACAGCAGAGCUCGAGGCUGGUAGAUGAGCGUUGGUCUUUGUUAGGCGCUGUUAAGCUCUAGACAGCAGUGGGGCCUACAGUCGAGAGAGAAACGAGGUGGCACGUGGCAGUGCCAGACCGCACAACGCUUCAUCAUCAGCAUCUGUCUGGUCGCAGACAGUAGAGCUCGAGGCUGGUAGAUGAGCGUUGGUCUUUGUUAGUCACUGUUAAGCUCUAGACAGCAGUGGGGCCUACAGUCGAGAAAGAAACGAGGUGGCACGUGGCAGUGGCAGACCGCACAACGCUUCAUCAUCAGCAUCUGUCUGGUCGCAGACAGCAGAGCUGUGGCUGGUAGAUGAAUGAGCGUUGGUCCUUUUUAGGCGCUGUUAAGCUCUAGACAGCAGUGGGGCCUACAGUCGAGAGAGAAACAAGGUGGCACGUGGCAGUGCCAGACCGCACAACGCUUCAUCAUCAGCAUCUGUCUGGUCGCAGACAGUAGAGCUCGAGGCUGGUAGAUGAGCGUUGGUCCUUGUUAGGCGAUGUUAAGCUCUAGACAGCAGUGGGGCCUACAGUCGAGAGAGAAACGAGGUGGCACGUGGCAGUGCCAGACCACAAAACGCUUCAUCAUCAGCAUGUGUCUGGUCGCAGACGGCAGAGCUGUGGCUGGUAGAUGAGCGUUGGUCUUUGUUAGGCGCUGUUAAGCUCUAGACAGCAGUGGGGCCUACAGUGGAGAGAGAAACGAGGUGGCACGUGGCAGUGCCAGACCACAAAACGCUUCAUCAUCAGCAUGUGUCUGGUCGCAGACGGCAGAGCUGUGGCUGGUAGAUGAGCGUUGGUCUUUGUUAGGCGCUGUUAAGCUCUAGACAGCAGUGGGGCCUACAGUCGAGAAAGAAACGAGGUGGCACGUGGCAGUGCCAGACCGCACAACGCUUCAUCAUCAGCAUCUGUCUUGUCGCAGACAGUAGAGCUCGAGGCUGGUAGAUGAGCGUUGGUCCUUGUUAGGCGCUGUUAAGCUCUAGACAGCAGUCGGGGCCUACAGGAGCAGUACCAUUUGACCCAUUUUAUGAAAAAUAAUAAGAAAUAACGCAUGAGUUCACUAAUAUAGACGAAACCUUAGUUAAAUUUAGACUUUUAGAAAAGAACUUGACCGACAGACGAAACUGAACUGCGUUUUUGUGGUUUAUAGACAUUUAAUUAUUUGUACAGGCAUUGUGAUGAGCUUUACAUAAUAAGCUAGUCGUAAGCAGUCAAAACAUUUCAAUGGGAAUAGGUUUAAGAAAAGCGUAUUAAUAACUACAACUUUUGCAAGAUUUGAAUUUAGAUUGUGUUGUUAAAGGUUUUAUAAUGCAUUUAUCGCCUUCUUGAUGGAGCGAACUAGGCAGACGUGUGUGCGUAUUGACCAAGAUUAUAACAAGUAAAUAACCUUUCUGAAUAAGCAGUAUAAAAUCUGAAGCCAAGUGCUCAGCGAAAAUCACAGGAAAUACAGCAUAAAGUAUGACACAAACAUAAUCUAGUGGUAUUGUGUGACAAAGAGGGACAAGAAAUAUACGAAAUUGUUUCUCCUCACUACUCCUGGAAUUGUCAAAAUUCAGGAAGUGACGACAGAGAGCCGAUAGAGGGACUGCACUCCUUCUUUGUCCUUACGAGUUAAGAAAAGUUGCGUCCCUUCGAAACGUGACACUACCAGAGUACAGCCUUGAUGUAUAUCUACCCGUUCUGGUGACGGUAUAUCUUAACAUAUAGUGUCGUCUGCAUGAGCUGACCGAAAAAAAAAAGCAAACCAAUCCUUCAUAAAAGAAAAAAUGCAAGGACACGAUGUGAUGUUGUCUAGUGUUUGCUUAUACAGUCAUAUUUGAUGCUGUUGAUACCUCAAUCUCAUAACCGUUCUUCCGUGCAGGGCCGUGCUUAGGGGCAGGCAGACGAGGCAUCUGCCUAGGGCCCCGCACAUUUCAUUAAAUAACAACCGUGGCGAUCGUGGUGUCAACGGCCCCGCACAUACCCUAUGCCUCGGGCCCCGCGGGGGGUAAGAACGGACCUGCUUCCGUGUUCAAAGAAGUUUUUCUACUUUACGAGCAGCAGUGCCUGUAGCGAGACGGAGAAGUAUUCAAAGGAAAGUUUCGUACACCCGACUAUCGCAGUCUGCAAAGAGAAAUGUUUGUUACGGUCAAGUAUGGAGAGGAACAGUGCCGCAUCUUUAACGCCAUCUGCCGGAACGACCUUCUUUUGGACUCCAUCAGGUCACAAUGCCAGUGUGACCAGAACGUGGUGGUGGACCUGUCGGAUGAGCGCGGGGAGGUGAAGAACCUGCGCUGCUUCCCAACAUCUUACGGCUCGGACUUUCUCAAGGAGCGGGAGACGCUGGUUCUUCUCAGAGUCGACAAUGAUGUGCAUAAGGAGACGCCUUUUUUCACACCACUUCUGAACAGUCUUUUACGCGACCAAAAGUUCCUGGAUGCGAUAAACGCUCAAACUGAAGCGGAGGACAGUCGUGAUCACCGAAGCAGAGUGAAGCCCUGCGUUAGUCCAGACCUUGUUUUUGCACCAGUUAACAAGAAACCUAAAGCUCCAAAACCUACAAGAAUGCCCGUUAAGAAAUGACGCGUCAUCACACGACAUCAGUGUGGGCAUCGUUCAGCCAACGUUCGCUAGUGCUAAUCACAAAGCCAGAUCGUGCCCAAAGGGUUAAGCUGAUACAGUGGCACAGCAAUGUGGGAUCAAGUCCAGAUGUAAGGAAAUAUUCUACGCCCGAGGAGGUCUGAUAAGAGCAAAGUCAUAGUCAUUGGCAACGGCAAAGCGGAGAGGAGCCCCCUCUCCAAGGACGGCAGCCCCACGACGGAUAUCCGCAUCAGGAUCUUAGCAGCAACGGCGGCCAUGGCAAGGUUGGACAGAGUCUGGCGCAGGCAUAACUUCAGAUUUACUACAAAGUACAAUCUGUACAGGUCCCUGGUUAUACUUAUCCUGCUUUACAGAAAAAAGUGACUAUACUUGCCGAUACGGAGAGAAGAAUCCAGGCAUUCAAGAACAAGCUUGAUGAGACUGCUCUGGAUCUCAUACACAGAACAUUAAACUAAUGACGUUGUACGAAGUACGGUUGCCACACUCAUUAAAAACCAGGAAUGUCUACUUGAACAGUCAAGCAGUGUAAGCUGGUGUAGUUUGGCCAUGUGACCCGACACGACACCUUGUGGCAGACUGUCCUUCAAGGUACCUAGGAGGGAGGUCGACGCCUCGGUGACCAGAGGAAAAACAAAACUCGCUUGCGAACGUCAAAGACGCAGCAUCAUCAGUGCUAGCACCGACACAUCGCAUCAAAUCAACUUUGUUACUCAGUAUGUAGUUGUUCAGUAUAUCGAAAAUGUUUUCUCCAGUUGUAUUGGUCGCUACAGACUUGCAAAAGAGAAAGUCAUUAUGAACAGCACCUAAGUGUUCAUACCUCAAAAAUGUCGGAAGGUUUUCUUCGUUGGCUAUGUCAGUAGACUCAUCAAGAUGAAGCCCGAAGUACUGACCUUGACUCAGUCUUGAUAACAGCUGACAUUCCACACAUUCAGCCAUGGCUUUUAUUCGAAUUUUCAGCCAGCGAUCUAUAAUAACCCUUCGGACUUUUAAAUACUGUUAAGCUACAUGCAUUUCUAAAGUAAGAUAUUAACUAAGUUAAUUCUUAUUGCGAGGAAGCAAAAUAUCUCAGUCAUUGUAAAAGGAUCAUCAAACAUCGAUUUCCGCCAGAAGACGCAAAUUAAAUUAGACGUAAGCAGCGUGACGUCACAAAUGA
Molecule: unclassified non-coding RNA, 7110 nt
Filed under: Pomacea canaliculata
Lineage: Eukaryota; Metazoa; Mollusca; Gastropoda; Architaenioglossa; Ampullariidae
Description: uncharacterized LOC112569927, transcript variant X8
Source: RNAcentral